Molecule: unclassified non-coding RNA, 536 nt
Filed under: Hevea brasiliensis (rubber tree)
Lineage: Eukaryota; Viridiplantae; Streptophyta; Magnoliopsida; Malpighiales; Euphorbiaceae
Source: RNAcentral
UUUUCAAGUGAGCCAAGUGUUUUACAGCUCAGGGCACCUAUCAAGAUAUUUGGUGAUUUGCACGGGCAAUUUGGUGAUCUAAUGCGCCUUUUUGACGAGUAUGGUGCACCUUCAACAGCUGGUGAUAAGAAGAGAUAAUCGAUAUAUGCUAUCUUCUUAGGAGAUUAUGUUGAUCGGGGUCAGCACAGCCUGGAGACCAUUACUCUACUGCUUGCUUUGAAGGUUGAAUAUCCCCAUAAUGUUCAUUUAAUUCGUGGGAACCAUGAAGCUGCAGAUAUCAAUGCCCUUUUUGGCUUCCGGAUUGAAUGCAUUGAGCGCAUGGGGGAGAGAGAUGGAAUUUGGGUUUGGCAUCGAAUAAAUCGUUUGUUCAAUUGGCUUCCUUUGGCAGCACUGAUUGAAAAGAAAAUCGUUUGUAUGCAUGGUGGUAUUGGUCGCUCAAUAAAUCAUGUGGAACAGAUUGAGAAUCUUCAGCGUCCAAUUAGUAUGGAAGCAGGCUCAAUUGUGCUUAUGGAUUUGUUAUGGUCGGAUCCAACAGA